GAUGAACGCUGGCGGCGUGCCUAAUACAUGCAAGUCGAUCGAGGAAGGGACUAGCUUGCUAGGACUGGAGAAGAGGCGAACGGGUGAGUAAUACAUAAGCAACCUACCCACGAAGACUGGGAUAACCCCUGGAAACGGGGACUAAGACCGGAUAGGUAAAGAGAUCGCAUGAUCAAAUUAUUAAAGGAGAAAGACACUGGUGGAUGGGCUUAUGGCGCAUUAGUUAGAUGGUGAGGUAACGGCCCACCAUGACGAUGAUGCGUAGCCGGCCUGAGAGGGUGAACGGCCACAUUGGGACUGAGACACGGCCCAGACUCC
Molecule: ribosomal RNA, 318 nt
Filed under: uncultured Bulleidia sp.
Lineage: Bacteria; Bacillati; Bacillota; Erysipelotrichia; Erysipelotrichales; Erysipelotrichaceae
Description: bacterial SSU rRNA
Rfam family: Bacterial small subunit ribosomal RNA
Source: RNAcentral